This is a long non-coding RNA of Lytechinus pictus (painted urchin), 3654 nucleotides long. RefSeq lists it as uncharacterized. Lineage: Eukaryota; Metazoa; Echinodermata; Echinoidea; Temnopleuroida; Toxopneustidae. The record is from RefSeq and is a predicted model, not a curated record. The transcript has 3 exons.
GCCUAAUACCGCAGGUAUUGAGGAAAGUGAAGAAAGACCAAGCUUGGCUUCUUCUAGUGGCCCCCAAUUGGCCAAGGAGGUGCUGGUUUCCACAGCUCCUAGAACUGUUGGAGGGGGACCCGCUCAUACUUCCUCUGAGAUCAGACAUAGUAUCUCAACCUCUGUCGGGGAUCGUGCAUCCUCAGCCAGCGGUCCUCCACUUAACCGCAUGACCGUUAUCGGGCAGGACACAAAAGCGUUAGGCCUUUCUGAUCGUGCCUCACAAUUGGUGAUUCAAAGUCGGAGAAAUUCGAUUAUUGAUCUUUACAAUUCUCGUUUGGGCCGAUUUUCAGAUUGGUGCACUGCGCGGUAUGUUGAUCCUCGCAACGCUUCUCUUGCUGCGAUCGCGGAUUUCUUUGUUCACCUUUUCGACAUCAAUCGUUCGCUUUCCACCAUUAGGGGCUUCCGGUCGGCUAUUGCCGCGUUUCAUUCCGGAUUCCCAGAUGGCUCCAACGUCUCUAAUUCCAGUCUUCUCACUUGACUGAUGAGAGCGUUUUUCCUAAGCGAUCUCCGAAGAAAAGUCUGGUUCCUUCCUGGAGUCUUCCGGCUGUGCUUAACGCCUUGGCUAAGCCUCUGUAUGAACAUCUGGCCAAGAGCUCCUUGCAUGAUUUGUCUGUCAAGACUGCCUUUCUAAUCGCUGUAGCAUCCGGUCAAAGACGCAGCUCUAUUCAUGUUUUGUUUUUUUCUCCCGGUCACAUCCGGUGGGAACGGCGUGGAGUCCACUUGAUUUCCACACCGUCCUUCAUUGCCAAGAACCAGACUGCCACCUCUGGUUCGUAUUAGUUCUUCCUAGCUCUUUCAGAUCUUUCCUCGGUUGCCGAGGACAAGUCUGGUGCCCGGUCAGGGCGUUGAAAUGGUAUCUGGAUAGAACGAAAACGCUUCGCAACUCUGAUCAGUUGUUUGUCACGUUGCGCGUGCCGUUUGCGGCAGCGUCGCGAGACACCAUCUCCCGCUGGAUCGUUGAGGCGAUCAAAUCAGCUGGUGAUGAUGCUCUCCUUUCGGACACUAGGCCGAGAGCCCAUGAUACUCGAAGUAUCGCUACUUCUUGGGCUCGUUUCAAUGGAGUCGCCUUAGACGGCAUUUUAAGAGCUGCCUUUUGGCGCUCUUCCAACUACUUUACUUCCUUUUAUUUAACGGACAUUCCUUUGGGAGAGGCCUAAUUUGCCUCCUCUGCCCUCAAGGCAGCGGCCCCUGUGUCUUAAUCUCCCUUAUUUUGCGCACUUUUUUUUUCUAGACAUGCCUCCCUUCACGUUGAAUCCGUGUUGGUCUAGCAAAUCAAAUGAGUAUAUCCCAGUUAUUGAUCGUAAAUUAUGAAAAUACUUACCAUGAUUUUCUUAUUUACGAAAUAACUAGAUAUACUCAUUUGAACCCUCCCACCUUCCCCUCGCCUUGCGUGGCAACUUGUCUUGCGUGCAGGCUCAUGAGAGGAAAUGGCCGCCCAAUUGCGCGAUGAUCUUGGGAUAGUGCCAAAGACCUUAUAAUAUAUUACUAGACCGAAAGCUGCGUGCGCGUUCAGCACAAAACAAAUGAGAUUAGGCUCCGCCUACCGCGAUCAUUUGAAGACAAAAAUAAGCCCUCAUUGACAUUCAUGAGCAUGAAGAUAUUCAUAAUCCGGCCUUUUCAUUGGCUAAGAGCGUCAUUAAUACGCGAUUUCCCCGAUUCUUUGUCAUCAUUACUAGUGGUAUCGUGUUACAGAAUUAAUUAUUCAUUUGACCUCAUUACGUCAUCUAAUUUAUUCAUUCUGAAACUUUUCUUUCCACACACAAAAUGAACCUACGAACACUCCGGUGAGUACGUAUUAAUUGAUAUAACCACAUGAAUUUAGUGGACUAUUUACACAUUUCACACUGUAUUUUGUGAUCUUAGGUUAUUUGUUUAACAAAUUAGAGAAUUUGCUAUUAAUCUUCUGUUAAAGGAAAGCAGAAUUUGGUCUUUGAAAUUGAAGUUAGAUUGUCAUCGUCGCCCAGUGCAGCCUGUAAUGUUGAUUGCACUUGCACUGUUGUGGUUAUGCCGUUAUGCCGCUGUGUUAACCACAUACGGUAGUACGGGCUCCUAGCCGGCUGGGAAUCGAGAGAUAAUCGGGCUGGUUUGGUUCACCUCCAACAAGGACCAACCCACGAUUGAUUAAAACAAGAAGAAUGAGGCUUAUUUUUGUACACUGUAACGUUAGAUCUAGAGGGAGAUCUGCAUCUAUCUUCAGUAGAUCGAGACUCAGUCAGGAAUAAACUGUGAAGCGGAGUAUGGAUGAAGAUACGCCUGUCAAUGUCAUUGUGUCAAUCCUCAGUCCUCACUUUGUUUCAGAUAUCAAAUUUAUUUUGCAUAACUUCAGGCUUCUGCAUUUAGCCCCCACCCAUUUUAACUCUUAUUGUUAUUUAUAAAUAUAGUUAGACUCGGUCUUAGAAAUCACAUGCUGCUCUGCAUGUUUGUCUUAUUAUCAAUAGAUCUAGGGCCUAGAUCUUCUUAAUCCUAGGCCCUACUUACUUUAUACAUAGAUCUAGGCUACUUUACUUUUAUUUAUUCAUCGAUGCUAUCAAGACAAGAGCUAGGCCUACCUAAUUCAAAUCUAGUCUAACUUAUACUUUCCCAACCCUCGACACUUACCCCCAGGGCUUAUGAUCUAGGUCUGUAAUGUAGGCCUAGAUCUAGGUCUGGGCCUAAACGACUCCAUUUACAUGUACGAGUAUGACUGUCAGUGGACCAAGGACUAGAUCUAGAUCUACUCUUGGUCAAUAAUGGCAAUGAAGUCUUAGCCAAGAAUAAAAGUCAGAGUCAGACAUCAAAAAUUUCUAAACCGAUAUAGGGUCUAGAUCUCGGUUUAGAACCGAAGCUUUACUUUCUAGGUCUAGAUAGAUCGAGAGUCCAUCGUUAGUCUAGAUCUAGACCUAAUUUAGAUACAUGAAUGCUGUCGCACAGCACUGAGUCUUGUUGGACUAGACUAAAUAGAUCUAGACCUAGUGCAUGAGAUCAUGAAAUUAUGUUAAAAUCAAAUGAAAUAAGAUUCGAAAAUAAAAAGAUCCGGAUUUUUUUAUUUAUUAUUAUUUUUUUUUUUUUGGGGGGGGGGCAGACAUGGGAAAAAAAUUAGAGAAACCUAAAAUUCAGAAAGCGAGGGCCAGAAGUGACCAAUAUUACCUAGGGCCGUUUUGUGCAUUUUCUAAAGUAAAAUUGAAGGAUGUCAUGCAAUUCUCUUUUUGAUGAAGGUUUCACAUUUCAGCUCUUACCCAAACCCCUCCCCCUAUACAUACGGCCAUGAAAAAGAUCACUUCUUAUUAUUGUUCUCUUUUCUUUCACAAACAGGUUGAGUUUGAAGAACAAGAAAAACAGUAGAGGUCUACCUAUAUGGUUCAAGAUGAUGAUCAUAAGUGCAUGCAUCAUUUUGCAGAUUCUCAUCCAGGAUGAUGCAGUUUUACAAUUUCCAUUGAGGUGAUUGAUGAUGAUAAAUAAUUGGUGAAGUAGGCCUAAUAGAACAGCGACUAGACCACAAAGAGAAAUACAACCUACAGCAGUUAUAUGAGACUGGUGUAACAGAUGUUUUCAUUCAAGAAAUCCAACAAUUCAAGAGUCUGACUUAGGAACCCCUUGAUGAAGAUGGAAAAGGUUUUUUUUCCAAGCCAAAUU